CCCAGCGUGGUAUAGUGGUUUGAGUGCUGGACUACAGCUCAAGAGAUCAGGGUUCAAAUUCCUGCUCAGCCA
This is a non-coding RNA of Phrynosoma platyrhinos (Desert horned lizard), 72 nucleotides long. Lineage: Eukaryota; Metazoa; Chordata; Lepidosauria; Squamata; Phrynosomatidae. The record is from the annotation of a GenBank genome assembly.